UCAUAUUUUAUCGGAUGUCGAAGGUGGAGAAUUAGAAUAAGGGAACAAAAGGGAGUGUAACAAACUGAUGUCCGAGUCAGUUUUGCGAAGAAAAAGAUCGUAUAGCAUAAGAUGGAAUCGGUGGUUAGAUUAAAAUACCUAUCAUCAUCAGGAAUAAGAUAUCAAUGAUGCGUUGGGUGGAUGUGAGUUACAAUUAUUAUAAGGAUCGGCGGCUGGCGCAUUAUUGGCAUCCUUCUCCUCCUCAUCAUUUUUGCAUGUAGAUAUAUGUGUAGUAUAUAGAGUGGUGAGAGGGUCCCACUAGGGUUUAGAAUGUUUUGAAAUAUGUACUUGAUAAAUGUUGGUAUUCGAAAUUGUAUAAUGUGUGUUUUCUUUA
Salvia hispanica is the source of this 373-nucleotide long non-coding RNA. RefSeq lists it as uncharacterized. The record is from RefSeq and is a predicted model, not a curated record. NCBI's taxonomy places the organism in Eukaryota, Viridiplantae, Streptophyta, Magnoliopsida, Lamiales, Lamiaceae.